GCAUAUCAAUAAGCGGAGGAAAAGAAAAUAACAAUGAUUUCCCUAGUAACGGCGAAGUGAAGAGGAAAGAAGCUCAAAGUUGGAAACUGUUUGGCUUAGCUAAACCGUAUUGUAAACUGUAGAAACAUUUUCCUGGCACACCAGAUUAAUAAGUCCUUUGGAACAAGGCAUCAUGGAGGGUGAGAAUCCCGUCUUUGAUCUGAGUAGUUGUCUUUUGUGAUAUGUUUUCAAAGAGUCAGGUUGUUUGGGAAUGCAGCCUAAAUUGGGUGGUAAAUCUCACCUAAAGCUAAAUAUUUGCGAGAGACCGAUAGCGAACAAGUACCGUGAGGGAAAGAUGAAAAGAACUUUGAAAAGAGAGUUAAACAGUAUGUGAAAUUGUUAAAAGGGAACCGUUUGGAGCCAGACUGGUUUGACUGUAAUCAACCUAGAAUUCGUUUUGGGUGCACUUGCAGUCUAUACCUGCCAACAACAGUUUGAUUUGGAGGAAAAAAUUAGUAGGAAUGUGGCCUUUCGAGGUGUUAUAGCCUACUAUCAUACUCUGGAUUGGACUGAGGAACGCAGCGAAUGCCAUUAGGCGAGAUUGCUGGGUGCUUUCGCUAAUAAAUGUUAGAAUUUCUGCUUCGGGUGGUGCUAAUGUUUAAAGGAGGAACACAUCUAGUAUAUUUUUUAUUCGCUUAGGUUGUUGGCUUAAUGACUCUAAAUGACCCGUCUUGAAACACGGACCAAGGAGUCCACCAUAAGUGCAAGUAUUUGAGUGACAAACUCAUAUGCGUAAGGAAACUGAUUGAUACGAAGUCUUACGAUGGCAGUAUCACCCGGCGUUGACGUUUUAUACUGAACUGACCGAGGUAAAGCACUUAUGAUGGGACCCGAAAGAUGGUGAACUAUGCCUGAAUAGGGUGAAGCCAGAGGAAACUCUGGUGGAGGCUCGUAGCGAUUCUGACGUGCAAAUCGAUCGUCAAAUUUGGGUAUAGGGGCGAAAGACUAAUCGAACCAUCUAGUAGCUGGUUCUGCG
This 1015-nucleotide ribosomal RNA is filed under the name Mucor janssenii. RNAcentral's name for it is "LSU rRNA". It matches the Rfam family "Eukaryotic large subunit ribosomal RNA", at positions 38 to 961 of the family's 3401-position model. Lineage: Eukaryota; Fungi; Mucoromycota; Mucoromycetes; Mucorales; Mucoraceae. The record is from RNAcentral.